GCCCGCCUAGCUCAAUCGGAUAGAGCGUCAGACUCUUAACAGUCCAAGGCGGGUUAAUUCCCAAUUUGAAUGUGGAAUCUGAAGGCUGCGAGUUCGACCCUCGCGGUGGGCU
Non-coding RNA from Coprinopsis sp. MPI-PUGE-AT-0042, 112 nucleotides. The record is from the annotation of a GenBank genome assembly. Lineage: Eukaryota; Fungi; Basidiomycota; Agaricomycetes; Agaricales; Psathyrellaceae.